AUGGAACUGAAACAGAAACACCUAGAGAAAACAAAAACCUUAAGCUAUGAAAACAGACUGUAUGACAGAGAGAGUCAUAAAAACCCAGAGGCUCUUUAUUUCUAUGUUUCUGUGUUUGUUUCUUAUCAGAUUGAGAACAAAUAUAAAAUGGGAAAGGGAGGAAGGAAGGAAUUAAAAAAGGGUUUGGAUUUAGGAAGAGAGGUAGCGGUCAAACCACGGAAACGAAAACUAGUACUCGUACAAUCUUUCAAAUUUUUUUUU
Non-coding RNA from Vicia faba (fava bean), 261 nucleotides. The record is from the annotation of a GenBank genome assembly. Lineage: Eukaryota; Viridiplantae; Streptophyta; Magnoliopsida; Fabales; Fabaceae.